This is a long non-coding RNA of Psammomys obesus (fat sand rat), 615 nucleotides long. RefSeq lists it as uncharacterized. Lineage: Eukaryota; Metazoa; Chordata; Mammalia; Rodentia; Muridae. The record is from RefSeq and is a predicted model, not a curated record. The transcript is spliced from 5 exons.
GUAGGGGAAAGGGCAUUCAUUCCCAGGCGUGAAGUUUGCUGAGAGCUUUGCUAGUUCGCGGUCUUUUGCUCGUGUUGUCCCAGGCAGGCUGCAUUCACAGGCACACUGGAAACCCGCUGAUGGCUUCGGUGCUCUGCAAGAUCAUGUCCGCCAGCAGAAAGCAGAAGCCUGGCAGGAGGAGAGUGCAGAGCCGGGGAAGGAAGGAACGAGAAGGGUAAAGCCAGCCAUCCGAAAAAGUAGGACCAGGAGAAGAAGACUUCCGGCUUCCAGGCAUUCCUUGCAGUGUACCCGAUCAACGCAAUCAGCAGCAGCAGCCCUGGGCCACGCCCACCCGUCAGGUGACCAGACAGGCUCUGGCUACGUAGGCCAGGUUUUCCUGAACGUCUUAAGGCCCUCGCUUCUCCCAAGUGCUGGAACUGUAGGUGUGCACCGUCACGUCUGUGUCUGCCCAAUCCUUACACGCAACUGGAUUGUCUGCCAUCAUUCCUGGGAGAUGGAAGGGGGUGACCCGUGGAAAGCCCUUGAGCUAGGAAGCACUUGCUGCCCAGGCAGUAACGCCACAGGCCCUGGUGUGCGAAGGACCCCGACAGCCGGUACUGCAUCCAGUGGUCCGUC